RNAcentral lists this unclassified non-coding RNA (355 nucleotides) under soil metagenome. RNAcentral's name for it is "partial contains 5.8S ribosomal RNA, internal transcribed spacer 2, and large subunit ribosomal RNA". The stretch from base 1 to 120 matches the Rfam family "5.8S ribosomal RNA", at positions 35 to 154 of the family's 154-position model. The record is from RNAcentral.
GAUGAAGAACGCAGCGAAAUGCGAUAAGUAGUGUGAAUUGCAGAAUUCAGUGAAUCAUCGAAUCUUUGAACGCACAUUGCGCCUUCUAGUAUUCUGGGAGGCAUUCCUGUUUGAGCGUCAUUAAACCUCUCUCAAGUAUGAUUACUUGGAUGUGAAGGAAGAGUACCUUAAACUUAAGGAGUGUUCUCCUUUGAAAUUGAUUAGCAGAUGGUAAUGUUAUUAAAUCCCUGAUGUUGUAAGAAAUAACAGUGGUUUUGUAGACUAUUAUCUAGCUUUAAAUUAUAAUUUUUAUUAUGGUUGACCUCAAAUCAGGUAAGGAUACCCGCUGAACUUAAGCAUAUCAAUAAGCGGAGGA